This 777-nucleotide ribosomal RNA is filed under the name uncultured Neocallimastigales. RNAcentral describes it as "partial large subunit ribosomal RNA". It matches the Rfam family "Eukaryotic large subunit ribosomal RNA", at positions 23 to 639 of the family's 3401-position model. The record is from RNAcentral. Lineage: Eukaryota; Fungi; Neocallimastigomycota; Neocallimastigomycetes; Neocallimastigales.
AGAGAGAGACAUGCGCGCAUAUCAAUAAGCGGAGGAAAAGAAACUAACUAGGAUUCCCUCAGUAACGGCGAGUGAAGCGGGAAGAGCUCAAAUUUGAAAUCUUCAAGGUUCUACCUUGACGAAUUGUAGUUUAAAGAAGUGUUUUCUGUUGGAGUUUUGGUAAAAGUUCUUUGGAAUAGGACAUCAUAGAGGGUGAGAAUCCCGUAUUUGACCAUUAUUUCCAGCUUUGUGAUACACUUUCAAAGAGUCGGAUUGUUUGGGAAUGCAGUCCAAAAUGGGUGGUAAAUUUCAUCUAAAGCUAAAUACUUGGCGAGAGACCGAUAGCGAACAAGUACCGUGAGGGAAAGAUGAAAAGAACUUUGAAAAGAGAGUUAAACAGUACGUGAAAUUGUCAAAAGGGAAGCGUUUGACACCAGUGUUGUUUUCUCGAAAAUCAAUUAAAAAAGGCAGGAUUUUGUGUUGUAUUGACUUUAUCAGCUUUCUGCACUCUUUUCUUGUCUUUUUUAAUGCACUUUUCGUUUAACAAGUCAACAUCAAUUUCUUUUGUUGUAAAAGGGUCAUUGGAAGGUGGCUUUCUUUUCGGAGAAAGUGUUUAUAGCCUUUGGCCUCUGCAAUCGGAGAGAUUGAGGUCUGCAGCGUAGAUCCCUUCGGGGUUAGAUACAUUUGUGCUAAGUUAUAGCCUUUUCAUAGACAACUUGUUGACUAUGAUUAGUCUUGUAGCUUACUCGCUUAUGCUAUUUUACCUACGCUUAGGAUGUUGAUGUGAUACUGCGAGCA